AUAUGCUUGUCUCAAAGAUUAAGCCAUGCAGGUGCAAGUACGAUCGAUACAAAGAGAAACUGCGAAUGGCUCAUUAGAUCAGUUAUAAUUUUCUGGAUCGUACGAUCCCUACGUGGAUAACUGUGGUAAUUCUAGAGCUAAUACAUGCAACGAAGCUCCGACCCUCGGUCGGAGCGCUUUUAUUAGUUGAAACCACCGAGCCUCGUGCUCGUCGAUGGUGACUCUGGAUAACGCUGCUGAUCGCUAGGUCUGUGACCAGCGACAAAUCCAAAAAGUAUCUGCCUUAUCAGCUAGUAGGUGGUCGACCUGACCACCUAGGCUACCACGGGUAGCGGGGAAUCAUGGGUUUGAUUCCGGAGAGGGAGCAUGAGAAACGGCUACCACGUCCAAGGAAGGCAGCAGGCACGCAACUUACCCAUUCCCGACACGGGGAGGUAGUGACGAAAAAUACCAAUACGGGACUCUGUCGAGGCUCCGGCAUUGGAAUGAGUACACUUUAAAUCCUUUGCCAAGGAUCAAUUGGAGGGCAAGCC
Molecule: ribosomal RNA, 533 nt
Filed under: Cocculina enigmadonta
Lineage: Eukaryota; Metazoa; Mollusca; Gastropoda; Cocculinidae
Description: SSU rRNA
Rfam family: Eukaryotic small subunit ribosomal RNA
Source: RNAcentral